Molecule: ribosomal RNA, 253 nt
Filed under: uncultured bacterium
Lineage: Bacteria
Description: partial 16S ribosomal RNA
Rfam family: Bacterial small subunit ribosomal RNA
Source: RNAcentral
UACGAAGGACCCAAGCGUUAUCCGGAUUUAUUGGGCUUAAAGGGUGCGUAGGCGGAUUAUUAAGUCAGUGGUGAAAGCUCUCGGCUCAACCGGGAAAUUGCCAUUGAUACUGAUAGUCUUGAGUAUGAUUGAGGUGGGCGGAAUGUGUCAUGUAGCGGUGAAAUGCUUAGAUAUGACACAGAACACCGAUUGCGAAGGCAGCUCACUAAGUCAUAACUGACGCUGAUGCACGAAAGCGUGGGGAGCAAACAGG